Callithrix jacchus (white-tufted-ear marmoset) is the source of this 110-nucleotide small nuclear RNA. NCBI's taxonomy places the organism in Eukaryota, Metazoa, Chordata, Mammalia, Primates, Cebidae. The record is from Ensembl.
GUGCUCACCUUGGCAGCACAUAUACUAAAAUUGGAAUGAUACAGAGAAGAUUAGGAUGGCCUCUGCACAAGCAGUCUUGAAAUGUACAGACUGCAUGGAGAAAGCUAUUU